GUGCCGUUUUUAGCAUAACUCAUCCCUUUUCUUGCAGAUAUUUUUGGUAGACUAAGUAGUAUCUGCAGCCAGUCAAUUUCUAUGGUAGUUUAGAAACCAAUUUGGGAUUUUCUUGGUUUAUUUCAAAGGCAUAAGCAAAAUCCACUUAAUCUUAAGAAGGUUUCUGCUGGUUAUGAGAGGAAGCAUUGAUACCGGUGAUCUAGCAUGUGCAGUUCUGGCUGCUUGCUAGCAUGAGGCUAUGCUGCUGAUUCAGAAAUCUUUUGGAGGGAGUGAGGGAGGAAGGCAUGUCUGCCUAUAUCUUGUAGCAGGGUGGAGGAAGCAGCAACACAGUCGAGCGGUAAUGUUGAUGUGCCCGAGCAGCACCGUGUCAGAAGCUGUUAAAUAAUUAAAUAAAGGAUUUGGGCGUUGGUGAAGGUUAACCACCUGGUGCAUCCGGUUUUAAUGAUUAAAACCGAAUGGUUAGUCCAGGUUGGUCGGGUUUAUCAGACACUAACCCUGUUUCAAAUCAAAUCAAGCUAAAUCAUCUGGUCCACAUCCCUUUUUCCGGUUGGACUGGUUAAUAUUGGACCGGUCUUCUAAUCCUUGGUUGGGAGCAAGAUGAGACUUGAGAGAACAUUUCAGUUUGUCUGCAAAUGUGUGAAGAGUGUUUGUUGUUAUCUUGGGCAUCAUGGGGAUUGAGAAGCUCAACUUCAAAUGGAGGUGUCCACGUCACUAAUGUCACAGUGAAAAUGGACAUAUUGACUGUUGUGACUCGAAAGGAUAUGGUCCAUAAUAAAGCUGAAGCAGAUGGGGACAAUGAUUGGUACCAAAGGCUUUCUAAUCUUGUCAUCUCCACAAUGCAUGUUAUUAUCCACUGCUUCCGUGAUAACUAUAUAUCAUAGCAUAACAAGGGAUUUCUUUUCCACCUUUAAAAUGUUGUUGCAAAUUUUACUCAAUUAUCACAUCUUAUACUGGAAAUAACAUGAGCUGAAGAGGUUGCUUCACUGAAUGUAGUUCUCAACAUUGUGCAAGCAAUGCAUGUGGCAUGCUCUUGUUGUGUAUUAGACUCUUAUUUGGCUUUAUCUUGGAUUAGUUAUUCCAUGUCUUUGUUCUAUA
Musa acuminata AAA Group (dessert banana) is the source of this 1095-nucleotide long non-coding RNA. RefSeq lists it as uncharacterized. Lineage: Eukaryota; Viridiplantae; Streptophyta; Magnoliopsida; Zingiberales; Musaceae. The transcript is spliced from 2 exons. The record is from RefSeq and is a predicted model, not a curated record.